UAGGGGGAGUGGGAUACGGGAAGUGCUUCUGGGAGGUGCAGAGCAGUUCCUUGCCCAGCAGCUGCUCACAGCCCUGCUCACACGUCCGUUCCCACUGGAACCCUCCCUUUGGGGCUGCAUCCCCACCACCCCACAGCUCCGUGUCGGACUUCUCCCCACAGCCAGAGGAGGGACUCUGUCCCGUGUGGAAUGGGCUCUGGAGGCUGCUGAAGCCCUUCUGCUUGCUGCUCAGGGACACCCUGGGAGGAUCAGACCCGCGAGGGCUGUGGGAGAGGCAGAAUUCCCUUCGGGAUACCCGGUCUGGGACGAGGCUCACGCUCCUGGUGCUCGAGGCCAGCCGGGUUUUGCCCCAGGGAGCACGGCCAGCACCGGGGGAGGAUGGAGCGCCUGGCCUCCUUCAGCAGUGACCCUUUUGAUAAGCCCCCGUGCCGUGGCUGCUCCUCGUACCUGACGGAGCCCUACGUGAAGUGUGCUGAGUGUGGGCCCCCUCCCUUCCUGCUGUGCCUGCAGUGUUUCACCCGAGGAUUUGAGUACAAGAAGCAUCAAAGUGAUCACACUUAUGAGAUAAUGACAUCUGACUUCCCUGUCCUGGAUCCCAACUGGACAGCUCAGGAGGAGAUGUCUCUCCUGGAAGCUGUGAUGGACUGUGGAUUUGGGAACUGGCAGGACGUGGCCAACCAGAUGUGCACCAAAUCCAAGGAGGAGUGUGAGAAGCACUACAUGAAACACUUCAUCAACAACCCCCUGUUUGCCUCCACCCUGCUGAACCUGAAGCAGGCAGAGGAGGCUCAGCACCAUGAGACAGCCAUUCCCUUCCACUCUGCUGAUGAUCCCCCACGGCCCACCUUUGACUCCUUGCUCUCCAGGGACAUGGCUGGGUACAUGCCAGCCAGAGCUGACUUUGUUGAGGAGUUUGACAACUAUGCUGAGUGGGAUUUGAGAGAUAUUGAUUUUGUAGAAGAUGAUUCAGACAUUUUGCAUGCUCUGAAGAUUGCAGUUGUAGAUAUCUAUCAUUCCAGGUUAAAGGAAAGACAGAGACGGAAAAAAAUUAUAAGAGAUCAUGGCCUGAUCAACCUCAGAAAAUUUCAGAUUCUGGAAAGGCGCUACCCCAAGGAGGUGCAGGAGCUCUACGAGACCAUGAGGAGGUUUGCCCGGAUCCUGGGGCCCGUGGAGCACGACAAGUUCAUCGAGAGCCACGCGCUGGAAUUUGAGCUGCGCAGGGAAAUAAAGAGACUCCAGGAGUACAGAGCAGCAGGAAUCACCAAUUUCUGCAGUGCCCGGACCUACGAGCACCUGAAGAAGAGCCGGGACGAGGAGCGGCUGAAGCGCACGAUGCUCUCGGAGGUGCUGCAGUACAUCCAGGACAGCAGCGCCUGCCAGCAGUGGCUCAGCCGCCAGGCAGACAUUGAUUCUGGCCUGACUCCCACAGUACCAGUUCCUUCAACUACAGGCAGGCGGAGUGCCCCACCACUGAACCUCACCGGCCUGCCAGGCACAGAGAAGCUCAACGAGAAGGAGAAGGAGCUCUGUCAGAUGGUGAGGCUGGUCCCUGGAGCCUAUUUGGAAUAUAAAGCUGCUUUAGUGAACGAGUGCAACAAACAGGGAGGCCUGAGACUGGCGCAGGCUCGAGCCCUCAUCAAGAUUGAUGUGAACAAAACCAGGAAAAUCUAUGACUUCCUGAUCAGAGAAGGGUACAUCACAAAGGCCUGAGCACAGGCAGCAGUGCUUGGCUGGAGCAGGCAGAUGUGGAGAAGCUUUGAAGUCGCUUUGACAGCGCUGAAAGAUUUCACCAGUGUUGAAUGAAGGACAUUUCCUUUUGUUUAAAACCUUUCGGGGCUCUUUUUUUUUUUCCUUUUUUUUUUUUUCUUUUUGUAAAAACAAGUAGGGAGCUUUGUUAAAUUGCAUGAAUGCUGACAUUUGUCUGGGUUCCUUCUGGCUCUGCUGUUGUCAGGAUUCCUCUGCCUCGCAGCACUGGGAAGGAUCACGUGCCAUGUAAGCUGAUCUUAAACGUGAAUGGGCAUUCAUUCCUCACACCUCCCGUGGCUGCAGAGAGGAUCACGGUACCUCUGUGCUGAUGGUGACAAAGAAUAAGGACACAGUCACACUUUUUGCAGUACAGGGUAUAGAAAUGCAGUCCCUCCCUCCUUGUGUUCCUUCCUAAAUCAGCAGCAGCUUUCAGAGGCGACAGCACGUGCCCGAGGGUGUAAAAAUAGAGCUUGCAGUGGUCCAGUCUUUUUAACUUAAUUGUGAUAAAGGAUGGGAAAGGACGUGGCAGGGAAGCUCCUCAACAGUUGUUACUUUUAUGUGGUAUUAGCACAUAUCCCAGCAGGAGGGCUCUGCACACACCAAGGAGCUUCAGCUGCUCCCCCCUCCAUGAUUUGGGGGUGUCAGGUUAAAUAUAAUCCCUCCAUUUCAGUCUGCUGCUCGUCGGGAAGGCUGGGAGCUACAGCCACUGCAGCUUUUGGGAACAGGGAUAAAAAGGUUCUCGGGACCCUGAUGUUCUCCCACAAAAAAGGAGUGAAGGGCACGAAGCUCCUGUUUGUGGGGUUUUAUUCCCUCAGCGUUGCCAGCGACGCGCCUGAGGAGGUGCCACAAGGCACUGCUCAAACACAGCCCCCAUCCCAUCAGCUGAUCCAGGAGCUUCAGCACCAAACGUUGGGAUUUGGCAGUCAGUUGGAUGAUGAAGAUGGUUCUCUGCAGGAAAGCUGGGAGCCAAAGCAGGUGAGGUGUUGGAUGCUCCCAAGUUUGGGAUCUCAUGGAAGAGCCUGAGCCACAGCUGCACCAGCACCUAUCUAAGGUGUUGAGCUUCACGUUGUUGUUUGUUCCCCAAGAGUAAUUAUCCUGUGGACAUGAGGCGCCAUUGAAUGUGAAGUAUUUUGGUUUGUAAUAAAAUCAAAAUGACUUGAAACAAUCUUA
This is an RNA transcript of Vidua macroura (Pin-tailed whydah), 2916 nucleotides long. It is a transcript of the gene named transcriptional adaptor 2A, with no coding region annotated. The transcript is spliced from 16 exons. The record is from RefSeq and is a predicted model, not a curated record. Lineage: Eukaryota; Metazoa; Chordata; Aves; Passeriformes; Viduidae.